Molecule: long non-coding RNA, 621 nt
Organism: Ictalurus punctatus (channel catfish)
Lineage: Eukaryota; Metazoa; Chordata; Actinopteri; Siluriformes; Ictaluridae
Source: Ensembl
CCGCCUUCUUUCUUUUGAAAGGUGACACUAAUGAAACUGUCUAACACAGCAAUCCUUUUGUUUUUUGCCGAAUCGAAAGUUGAAAAAAAAAAAGUCUAAUUCACAAGAAAUAUAGUUAUUUUACUCCUGAGCGUAUACAUUUCCAGUUUGUUCGUUUGUUCCAUGCAGUGACGCAAUAUGGUUAAUGUAUGGUGUAGAACAUUUUAAGUUCCUGACUCUCUUGCUCAGAGUACCACUGAAAGGGCCGAAAAGCAACACCAGCACAGAUGUUUAUUCCAAAUAACUGUCACCAGUUCAAAAGUUCCACUUUUCAGCUUGCAAAGACGGCUUGUGAAGAGAGCUGAGCUUCCAGUGCAGCAGCAGCCAAAGUCACAGGGGCAGAAAUAGUACGAGGGAUUAGAGAGCGAAGGACAGCCCUGACUAUUCACGCUUGGCACUUGCAAGACAGCCACCGGUACAAAGCUCUGCCGAUUUGGUGUGUAUAAACCGCUGCCAGGAGUGUGUGUCAUCCUGAUGGAGCGUUUGAGGGAGAGAAGCUCUGUCUUCACUUAUCACUGUAACAAGCCCAGUGCUGAGCAAACACUUCUCAAGACGACGCUCUCCAUAAACGCGCAGAUAUAC